Molecule: ribosomal RNA, 191 nt
Filed under: uncultured Bacillota bacterium
Lineage: Bacteria; Bacillati; Bacillota
Description: uncultured Firmicutes bacterium partial 16S ribosomal RNA
Rfam family: Bacterial small subunit ribosomal RNA
Source: RNAcentral
GGAGGCAGCAGUAGGGAAUCUUCCGCAAUGGGCGAAAGCCUGACGGAGCGACGCCGCGUGAGCGAGGAAGGCCUUCGGGUCGUAAAGCUCUGUUGUCAGGGAAGAAGGCGCGCCGUUCGAACAGGGCGGCGCGGUGACGGUACCUGACGAGGAAGCGCCCCGGCUAACUACGUGCCAGCAGCCGCGGUAAU